UAGGGAAUUUUCCACAAUGGGCGAAAGCCUGAUGGAGCAACGCCGCGUGCAGGAUGAAGGCCUUAGGGUUGUAAACUGCUUUUAUAAGUGACGAAUAUGACGGUAACUUAUGAAUAAGGACCGGCUAACUCCGUGCCAGCAGCCGCGGUCAUACGGAGGGUCCAAGCGUUAUCCGGAAUUACUGGGCGUAAAGAGUUGCGUAGGUGGCAUAGUAAGUAGAUAGUGAAAGCGUGUGGCUCAACCAUACUCACAUUAUCUAAACUGCUAAGCUAGAGAAUGAGAGAGGUACCUGGAAUUCCCUGUGUAGGAGUGAAAUCCGUAGAUAUUUGGAGGAACACCGAUGGCGUAGGCAGGUGACUGGCUCAUUCUUGACACUAAGGCACGAAAGCGUGGGGAGCAAA
RNAcentral lists this ribosomal RNA (401 nucleotides) under uncultured bacterium. RNAcentral describes it as "bacterial SSU rRNA". It matches the Rfam family "Bacterial small subunit ribosomal RNA", at positions 355 to 772 of the family's 1533-position model. The record is from RNAcentral.